Molecule: small RNA, 277 nt
Filed under: Mytilus galloprovincialis (Mediterranean mussel)
Lineage: Eukaryota; Metazoa; Mollusca; Bivalvia; Mytilida; Mytilidae
Source: RNAcentral
GGACAUCACAGACAAAGUAUUAAAAGAGGAUUUUUAUAGAAUCUGAGAUGUUUUAAUACUUUGUCUGUGAUGUCCUUUAUAGAGGAUCCGACAAGUCUAUAAGGACAUCACAGACAAAGUAUUAAAAGAGGAUUUUAUAGAAUCUGAGAUGUUUUAAUACUUUGUCUGUGAUGUCCUUGUAGAGGAUCCGACAAAGUCUAUAAGGACAUCACAGACAAAGUAUUAAAAGAGGAUUUUAUAGAAUCUGAGAUGUUUUAAUACUUUGUCUGUGAUGUCC